Long non-coding RNA from Vicia villosa (hairy vetch), 507 nucleotides. RefSeq lists it as uncharacterized. The transcript has 2 exons. The record is from RefSeq and is a predicted model, not a curated record. NCBI's taxonomy places the organism in Eukaryota, Viridiplantae, Streptophyta, Magnoliopsida, Fabales, Fabaceae.
CCUAGAAACCCACCGGCCACAACUGUACACCUCCGUCCAAACACCAUCAAACCACCGUGCAUCCCUAGUUCCCGGUUGAUCUUCAACCGGAGAACUCAUCCCAAAACCCAGAUUCACAUGAACCCUAUCAAUUUAAACCCUAACCCUAGCUUAUUAAGAACCCUAACCAGCACAACGAUGAACCCUAACCCUCCAAUCCAAACAAAAACAACCAAACAAAGUGCAUGCAAUCGAUUAAACGUCUUAAAGCCCUAAACUAAGUGCAAUUUGGUAUGAAGGUGAAGAUCCAAGCUUUGACGUUCACGGCGCUUAGGGUUUCGUUCUCCCAAAAUUUCUCCUCAAAAGUUCAUCCCCUUCUUCUGAUUUCUUAUUUUAGAUUUAUAGACUUAGGUUAAAUUAGAUUUAGGAAUGAUUAGAUUAUUAGGUUUUAUGAUUUGAUUCGUUUUCAGAUCUUAUUCAAUGUAAAAUUGUUUCAGAUUAAUACAAAAUAUUAUAUUUCAUUUGAUU